ACACGACUACAUUAGAUACCCCUGUAGUCCAGGGUGUAAACGCUGCGGGCUUGGUGUUGGGGGUCCUUUGAGGGCGCCCAGUGCCGGAGAGAAGUUGUUAAGCCUGCUGCUUGGGGAGUACGUCCGCAAGGAUGAAACUUAAGGGAAUUGGCGGGGGAGCACCGCAACGGGAGGAGCGUGCGGUUCAAUUGGAUUCAACGCCGGACAACUCACCAGGAGCGACGGUUACAUGAAGGCCAGGCUGAUGACCUUGCCUGAUUUUCCG
Molecule: ribosomal RNA, 265 nt
Filed under: uncultured archaeon
Lineage: Archaea
Description: partial 16S ribosomal RNA
Rfam family: Archaeal small subunit ribosomal RNA
Source: RNAcentral